This 580-nucleotide ribosomal RNA is filed under the name uncultured Diderma sp. Its description in RNAcentral is "bacterial SSU rRNA". It matches the Rfam family "Eukaryotic small subunit ribosomal RNA", at positions 27 to 555 of the family's 1831-position model. The record is from RNAcentral. Lineage: Eukaryota; Evosea; Eumycetozoa; Physariida; Didymiaceae.
UAUGCUUCUCCUAAAGACUAAGCCAUGCAUGCCUUCGAAUAAGAGGAAGCAAUUCUCUCUGAAUCUGCGAACGGCUCCGCAAACCAGUUGUAAACUAAAGCAAGCAAGCCUGCGGUCUGGCCUUUACGGGUCGGGCCGUAGGUGAUAUGGAUAACCCUGGUAAUUCUGAGGCUAAUACAUGAACGUAAACCCUGGCUGACCUUUACGGGAACGCUGGGGGGCAUGUGACUAUUUUCGCAAGGAAUACCGGGAAGGGGUGCAUGCUCGGACCGCGACAAAGACAGAUACGGUGAUCCCUCGGGAGAUCUGUGCCUGAGCGGCUCUUGCUAUGUGCUUCUGACCUAUCAACUAGAUGGCAGCGUAACGGACAUGCCAUGGUUACAACGGGUACAGAGGAUUAGGGUUCGAUCCUGGAGAGUGGGCCUGAGAGAUUGCUCAUACUUCUAAGGAAGGCAGCAGGCGCGCAACGUUCCCCUUGGACAAUGUCCGAGGGCGUUAGGGGACAUAUGAAUGCCUGCCUUUUAGGUGGGCAAUUCAAAUGGGUCUGUUCUAAACAGCCUCUCGAGUAACAAUUAGAGGA